Molecule: non-coding RNA, 26 nt
Filed under: Homo sapiens (human)
Lineage: Eukaryota; Metazoa; Chordata; Mammalia; Primates; Hominidae
Source: RNAcentral
UCGUCACUUGCUAUGUCCUCACUGGC